Molecule: transfer RNA, 71 nt
Filed under: Nematostella vectensis (starlet sea anemone)
Lineage: Eukaryota; Metazoa; Cnidaria; Anthozoa; Actiniaria; Edwardsiidae
Rfam family: tRNA
About the family: Transfer RNA (tRNA) molecules are approximately 80 nucleotides in length.
Source: Rfam by way of RNAcentral
GGGGAUGUAGCUCAGUGGUAGAGCGUCCGCUUUGCAUGCGGAAUGCCCGGGGUUCGAACCCCGCAUCUCCA